UACGAAGGGGGCUAGCGUUGCUCGGAAUCACUGGGCGUAAAGCGCACGUAGGCGGCUUUCUAAGUCAGGGGUGAAAUCCUGGAGCUCAACUCCAGAACUGCCUUUGAUACUGGGGAGCUCGAGUCCGGAAGAGGUGAGUGGAACUCCGAGUGUAGAGGUGAAAUUCGUAGAUAUUCGGAAGAACACCAGUGGCGAAGGCGGCUCACUGGUCCGGUACUGACGCUGAGGUGCGAAAGCGUGGGGAGCAAACGGG
Molecule: ribosomal RNA, 253 nt
Filed under: uncultured bacterium
Lineage: Bacteria
Description: partial 16S ribosomal RNA
Rfam family: Bacterial small subunit ribosomal RNA
Source: RNAcentral